Molecule: ribosomal RNA, 1999 nt
Filed under: Escherichia coli
Lineage: Bacteria; Pseudomonadati; Pseudomonadota; Gammaproteobacteria; Enterobacterales; Enterobacteriaceae
Description: partial 23S ribosomal RNA
Rfam family: Bacterial large subunit ribosomal RNA
Source: RNAcentral
GCAAACUGCGAAUACCGGAGAAUGUUAUCACGGGAGACACACGGCGGGUGCUAACGUCCGUCGUGAAGAGGGAAACAACCCAGACCGCCAGCUAAGGUCCCAAAGUCAUGGUUAAGUGGGAAACGAUGUGGGAAGGCCCAGACAGCCAGGAUGUUGGCUUAGAAGCAGCCAUCAUUUAAAGAAAGCGUAAUAGCUCACUGGUCGAGUCGGCCUGCGCGGAAGAUGUAACGGGGCUAAACCAUGCACCGAAGCUGCGGCAGCGACACUAUGUGUUGUUGGGUAGGGGAGCGUUCUGUAAGCCUGUGAAGGUGUACUGUGAGGUAUGCUGGAGGUAUCAGAAGUGCGAAUGCUGACAUAAGUAACGAUAAAGCGGGUGAAAAGCCCGCUCGCCGGAAGACCAAGGGUUCCUGUCCAACGUUAAUCGGGGCAGGGUGAGUCGACCCCUAAGGCGAGGCCGAAAGGCGUAGUCGAUGGGAAACAGGUUAAUAUUCCUGUACUUGGUGUUACUGCGAAGGGGGGACGGAGAAGGCUAUGUUGGCCGGGCGACGGUUGUCCCGGUUUAAGCGUGUAGGCUGGUUUUCCAGGCAAAUCCGGAAAAUCAAGGCUGAGGCGUGAUGACGAGGCACUACGGUGCUGAAGCAACAAAUGCCCUGCUUCCAGGAAAAGCCUCUAAGCAUCAGGUAACAUCAAAUCGUACCCCAAACCGACACAGGUGGUCAGGUAGAGAAUACCAAGGCGCUUGAGAGAACUCGGGUGAAGGAACUAGGCAAAAUGGUGCCGUAACUUCGGGAGAAGGCACGCUGAUAUGUAGGUGAAGCGACUUGCUCGUGGAGCUGAAAUCAGUCGAAGAUACCAGCUGGCUGCAACUGUUUAUUAAAAACACAGCACUGUGCAAACACGAAAGUGGACGUAUACGGUGUGACGCCUGCCCGGUGCCGGAAGGUUAAUUGAUGGGGUUAGCGGUAACGCGAAGCUCUUGAUCGAAGCCCCGGUAAACGGCGGCCGUAACUAUAACGGUCCUAAGGUAGCGAAAUUCCUUGUCGGGUAAGUUCCGACCUGCACGAAUGGCGUAAUGAUGGCCAGGCUGUCUCCACCCGAGACUCAGUGAAAUUGAACUCGCUGUGAAGAUGCAGUGUACCCGCGGCAAGACGGAAAGACCCCGUGAACCUUUACUAUAGCUUGACACUGAACAUUGAGCCUUGAUGUGUAGGAUAGGUGGGAGGCUUUGAAGUGUGGACGCCAGUCUGCAUGGAGCCGGCCUUGAAAUACCACCCUUUAAUGUUUGAUGUUCUAACGUUGGCCCCUGAUCGGGGUUGCGGACAGUGUCUGGUGGGUAGUUUGACUGGGGCGGUCUCCUCCUAAAGAGUAACGGAGGAGCACGAAGGUUGGCUAAUCCUGGUCGGACAUCAGGAGGUUAGUGCAAUGGCAUAAGCCAGCUUGACUGCGAGCGUGACGGCGCGAGCAGGUGCGAAAGCAGGUCAUAGUGAUCCGGUGGUUCUGAAUGGAAGGGCCAUCGCUCAACGGAUAAAAGGUACUCCGGGGAUAACAGGCUGAUACCGCCCAAGAGUUCAUAUCGACGGCGGUGUUUGGCACCUCGAUGUCGGCUCAUCACAUCCUGGGGCUGAAGUAGGUCCCAAGGGUAUGGCUGUUCGCCAUUUAAAGUGGUACGCGAGCUGGGUUUAGAACGUCGUGAGACAGUUCGGUCCCUAUCUGCCGUGGGCGCUGGAGAACUGAGGGGGGCUGCUCCUAGUACGAGAGGACCGGAGUGGACGCAUCACUGGUGUUCGGGUUGUCAUGCCAAUGGCACUGCCCGGUAGCUAAAUGCGGAAGAGAUAAGUGCUGAAAGCAUCUAAGCACGAAACUUGCCCCGAGAUGAGUUCUCCCUGAGACUUAGAGUCUCCUGAAGGAACGUUGAAGACGACGACGUUGAUAGGCCGGGUGUGUAAGCGCAGCGAUGCGUUGAGCUAACCGGUACUAAUGAACCGUGAGGCUUAACCUU